This 611-nucleotide ribosomal RNA is filed under the name Idiomarina loihiensis. RNAcentral's name for it is "bacterial SSU rRNA". It matches the Rfam family "Bacterial small subunit ribosomal RNA", at positions 58 to 657 of the family's 1533-position model. The record is from RNAcentral. Lineage: Bacteria; Pseudomonadati; Pseudomonadota; Gammaproteobacteria; Alteromonadales; Idiomarinaceae.
CAAGGUCGAGCGGUAACAGAGAUAAGCUUGCUUCUCUGCUGACGAGCGGCACACGGGAGAGUAAUACUUGAAAAUUUGCCUUUAUGCGGGAGACAACCACGGGAAACUGUGGAUAAUACCGCAUAAUGUCUACGGACCAAAGUGGGAGACCCUCAGCCCUCACACCUAAAUAUGAGCCCAAGCGGGAUUAGCUAGUUGGUGGGGUAAAGGCUCACCAAGGCGACGAUCCCUAGCUGUUCUGAGAGGAUGAUCAGCCACACUGGGACUGAGACACGGCCCAAACUCCUACGGGAGGCAGCAGUGGGGAAUAUUGCACAAGGGGGGAAACCCUGAUGCACCCAUGCCGCGUGUGUGAAAAAGGCCUUCGGGUUGUAAAGCACUUUCAGCGACAAGGAAGGGUGUUGUGUUAAUAGCGCAGCACAUUGACGUUAGUCGCAGAAGAAGCACCGGCUAACUCCGUGCCAGCAGCCGCGGUAAUACGGAGGGUGCAAGCGUUAAUCGAAAUUACUGGGCGUAAAGCGUACGUAGGCGGCUUGUUAAGCAAGAUGUGAAAGCCCCGGGCUCAACCUGGGAAUUGCAUUUUGAACUGGCAUGCUAAAGUCCUGAAAAGG